Mustela erminea (ermine) is the source of this 166-nucleotide long non-coding RNA. RefSeq lists it as uncharacterized. The record is from RefSeq and is a predicted model, not a curated record. The transcript has 3 exons. Lineage: Eukaryota; Metazoa; Chordata; Mammalia; Carnivora; Mustelidae.
AAUAUAUUGUUUUUCCCUGAUGUUGGGAUUUUACAGUUUUAUGUGGACUCUGUGGUGGUUGUCCCCUUGUUCCUUUGUCUUGUGUUCUGGGGUAGGGGCCUGCCACGUGGGUUUUCAGUCAAUGAUGUUCUCUGAGUUAAGUCCUCCCGCCCACCUCAAGGGGGUG